GCGCACGGGUGAGUAACGCGUACGCAAUCUACCUCUAUCAGGGGGAUACACACGGGAAACUGUGGAUAAUCCCGCAUACAAUUCAUUACUGGCAUCGGUGAUGGAUAAAAGUUAAGGCGGAUAGAGAUGAGCGUGCGUCUGAUUAGUUAGUUGGUGAGGUAACGGCUCACCAAGGCGACGAUCAGUAGGGGGCGUGAGAGCGUGAUCCCCCACACGGGUACUGAGACACGGACCCGACUCC
This 241-nucleotide ribosomal RNA is filed under the name uncultured bacterium. RNAcentral's name for it is "partial 16S ribosomal RNA". It matches the Rfam family "Bacterial small subunit ribosomal RNA", at positions 98 to 339 of the family's 1533-position model. The record is from RNAcentral.